RNAcentral lists this ribosomal RNA (442 nucleotides) under uncultured bacterium. Its description in RNAcentral is "partial 16S ribosomal RNA". It matches the Rfam family "Bacterial small subunit ribosomal RNA", at positions 338 to 795 of the family's 1533-position model. The record is from RNAcentral.
CCUACGGGUGGCAGCAGUGGGGAAUAUUGGGCAAUGGGCGCAAGCCUGACCCAGCAACGCCGCGUGAAGGAAGAAGGCUUUCGGGUUGUCAACUUCUUUUAAGGGGGAAGAGCAGAAGACGGUACCCCUUGAAUAAGCCACGGCUAACUACGUGCCAGCAGCCGCGGUAAUACGUAGGUGGCAAGCGUUGUCCGGAUUUACUGGGUGUAAAGGGCGUGCAGCCGGAGAGACAAGUCAGAUGUGAAAUCCACGGGCUCAACACGUGAACUGCAUUUGAAACUGUUUCCCUUGAGUGUCGGAGAGGUAAGCGGAAUUCCUUGUGUAGCGGUGAAAUGCGUAGAUAUAAGGAAGAACACCAGUGGCGAAGGCGGAUUACUGGACGAUAACUGACGGUGAGGCGCGAAAGCGUGGGGAGCGAAAGGGAUUAGAUACCCGGGUAGUC